RNAcentral lists this ribosomal RNA (156 nucleotides) under uncultured bacterium. RNAcentral's name for it is "partial 16S ribosomal RNA". It matches the Rfam family "Bacterial small subunit ribosomal RNA", at positions 372 to 523 of the family's 1533-position model. The record is from RNAcentral.
UGGACGAAGUCUGACGGAGCAUGCCGCGUGAGUGAAAAGGUUUUCGGAUCGUAAAACUCUGUUGUUAGAGAAGAACAGGGAUGAGAGUAACUGCUCAUCCCCUGACGGUAUCUAACCAGAAAGCCACGGCUAACUACGUGCCAGCAGCCGCGGUAA